AGAGCGAACGCUGGCGGCAGGCUUAACACAUGCAAGUCGAGCGGGCGUAGCAAUACGUCAGCGGCAGACGGGUGAGUAACGCGUGGGAACGUACCUUUUGGUUCGGAACAACACAGGGAAACUUGUGCUAAUACCGGAUAAGCCCUUACGGGGAAAGAUUUAUCGCCAAAAGAUCGGCCCGCGUCUGAUUAGCUAGUUGGUGAGGUAACGGCUCACCAAGGCGACGAUCAGUAGCUGGUCUGAGAGGAUGAUCAGCCACAUUGGGACUGAGACACGGCCCAAACUCCUACGGGAGGCAGCAGUGGGGAAUAUUGGACAAUGGGCGCAAGCCUGAUCCAGCCAUGCCGCGUGAGUGAUGAAGGCCCUAGGGGUUGUAAAGCUCUUUUGUGCGGGAAGAUAAUGACGGUACCGCAAGAAUAAGCCCCGGCUAACUUCGCGCCAGCAGCCGC
Molecule: ribosomal RNA, 449 nt
Filed under: uncultured bacterium
Lineage: Bacteria
Description: SSU rRNA
Rfam family: Bacterial small subunit ribosomal RNA
Source: RNAcentral